AUGUGGUUUAAUUCGAUGAUACGCGAGGAACCUUACCUGGGCUCAAAUGUAUGUUGACGUAUUCUGAAAGGGAUACUUCUUCGGACAAUAUACAAGGUGCUGCAUGGUUGUCGUCAGCUCGUGCCGUGAGGUGUCGGGUUAAGUCCCAUAACGAGCGCAACCCCUAUCAUUAGUUGCCAUCAGGUCAAGCUGGGGACUCUAAUGAAACUGCCUACGCAAGUAGUGAGGAAGGUGGGGAUGACGUCAAAUCAGCACGGCCCUUACGUCCAGGGCUACACACGUGCUACAAUGGCCGGUACAAAGGGCAGCUACCUGGUGACAGGAUGCUAAUCUCAAAAGCCGGUCUCAGUUCGGAUUGCAGUCUGCAACUCGACUGCAUGAAGUUGGAAUCGCUAGUAAUCGCGGAUCAGAACGCCGCGGUGAAUACGUUCUCGGGGUUU
RNAcentral lists this ribosomal RNA (440 nucleotides) under uncultured Sphingobacteriales bacterium. RNAcentral describes it as "bacterial SSU rRNA". It matches the Rfam family "Bacterial small subunit ribosomal RNA", at positions 939 to 1382 of the family's 1533-position model. Lineage: Bacteria; Pseudomonadati; Bacteroidota; Sphingobacteriia; Sphingobacteriales. The record is from RNAcentral.